Molecule: ribosomal RNA, 119 nt
Organism: Chlorocebus sabaeus (green monkey)
Lineage: Eukaryota; Metazoa; Chordata; Mammalia; Primates; Cercopithecidae
Source: Rfam
GUCUAUGGCCAUACCACCCUGAACGUGCCUGAUCUUGUCUGAUCUUGGAAGCUAAUCAGGGUCGGGCCUGGUUACUACUCGGAUGGGAGACCAAAUACCCAAUCAAAGUAAUAAAAAAA